RNAcentral lists this ribosomal RNA (200 nucleotides) under uncultured bacterium. Its description in RNAcentral is "partial 16S ribosomal RNA". It matches the Rfam family "Bacterial small subunit ribosomal RNA", at positions 29 to 256 of the family's 1533-position model. The record is from RNAcentral.
AACGAACGCUGGCGGUAUGCCUAAUACAUGCAAGUCGAACGAGACCUUCGGGUCUAGUGGCGCACGGGUACGUAACGCGUGGGAAUCUGCCCUUGGGUUCGGAAUAACAGCGGGAAACUGCUGCUAAUACCGGAUGAUGACGUAAGUCCAAAGAUUUAUCGCCCAGGGAUGAGCCCGCGUAGGAUUAGCUAGUUGGUGGG